CUUGCUUGAUCACAUUAGCUGGAUUAGAUCAGCAGUGAUAGUACUCUAGCUGGAUCACUGUGUUUGCCUUGAUGAGGUACUUGAUGACCAUCAUCCAAGACAAGAUUCCUGAAAGAUGCUGAAGUUCAUGCAGAUACUGAAGAGAUCGCACCUCUGCUGAAUAAAGAGAGAAAACAUUCAAAGAGGAGAGUCCUUAAGAUGCCAUUGAUUCUUCAUAAACAUGAAUGCACUGAGGAGACAAAAGUGGUUUUCUUUGCUGCUUUUCCACCUGUCUGCUUCUGUUGCUAUGGCUGUUUAACAGCAGCCUGCAACUUGCCGCCUCCCUGCAUCCCUGCUCCAAGACGCUUGGUUCAGCCUUGGCCAGCUGCUGCCUGAGGAGCACCGUGGACGUUGGAUGAUGGGGGAGGCGUGUCAGUAUGAGAGGACAAGAAGUGCCAUAGCUCACUCUGUGGUGUGUGAAAGGUUGAUGAAAGGCCCAUCCCUGGCUCCUGCUGGAAUGCUGUAACUCUCCUGGAAGGGAGAGCAGAGAAGAUCAAAGACAAAAUACUGCCAAGGAACAAAACUUAUAAAGAUUCUGCAGCCCGUCUAAUUAUCACAUCAUUCUUUGAGUCAACACACCAGGCUUCUGGUGCCAGCUGUGAAAAAGGCAAUUAAUAACUUUAAACUAAGCCCGGCUUCAGGCUGAGGACAAGAAGCUGUGAAGAGCUAUGUACAGGUAACAGACCUACUGUUUUCAUCCCUUAAUGCGGCACACUGAUCUUUUCAUGGUGGUGUAGUAGGGAUGGGGGGAAAUGCCUUUAAGAAACUUGGAGAAAUGGAAUUAAGUCUCUACAGAUUUUAAAAGGUCUCUGUCAAUCCUGAAAAUGAUGGCAUUUUAAGAAGAUAAGGCAAGUACCACUCACAUCAUAAAAGCUGAAGUACUGCUUUGCAAAUGCUGCAAGGGGAAUAGCAAGGAGUUUGUAUCCUGCUAUCCUGAACUGAACUUUCCAAAGCGAAACUGGUUCCUACCAAUACAUAUUAUGCUCUGGCUCCAACAAAGGACCUUGAAGAUUGCUAAACGUUCCUGGUUGAAUCAUUGCAGCAGCUGGUGAUGUAAACUUUGUAAAUAGUGCUGUCUCCCUUUUAUAGGUGUGAAAGCUAAAGCACAGAGGGCAAUGCUGAUUCGAAUGAAAGACUUGUAAAGUCCCAAAUGUCUGUCAGUUGUUUCUAAUCAGUCUGACGUUGGGUUUUUGUUUGGGUUCAGAAUUCCAGUUGUGAAUGUGUGCCCAGGUUGUGUCCACUGAAAGAGGGCAACAUUUUUGGCACUGAAUGACUUACUCUGGCUCAAAGAGGAAGACUGUGUGAAGACUAGGAAUCAGGUCUCUUCAUUUCAGUGCCUGUCCUUGAAAUGUAAGACUGUAUUUCAUCUUUUUAGCAUGUGAAUAACCUGUUCCAGGUACCUUGUAAUACCUUCAUGCACCACACACUAAGCAUUUUCCAUCAGUGGCAGGCUUGGCAGCCAGAAAAGUGAUCCCCGGUACCUGAUGUGUGGUUUAUGGAAAGAAGGAUUUCAUGACCAAUUUUGCUACACAUUAAGGGCAAAAAAUUGCCCAAGUGUGUUUUAUAUAUACAUCUAGCAGAAAUCCCCGGUAUUUCUGAAGUUGUUUCUAAGCCACCUUGUUUCAAUUUAAGAUUUUGCUAUAAAAUAAACCUUCUUAAAAGCUGCAUGUCAUUAUGUUUUGACUUAAAAUUAAAGGAACAUUGUAACUUCUUUUAUUUUGUUAAUAUUCCAAAAAUAAAUAUUUUUACU
Molecule: long non-coding RNA, 1789 nt
Organism: Dromaius novaehollandiae (emu)
Lineage: Eukaryota; Metazoa; Chordata; Aves; Casuariiformes; Dromaiidae
Exons: 4
Source: RefSeq, a predicted model, not a curated record